This 292-nucleotide ribosomal RNA is filed under the name uncultured bacterium. Its description in RNAcentral is "partial 16S ribosomal RNA". The record is from RNAcentral.
GGACUACACGGGUAUCUAAUCCUGUUUGCUCCCCACGCUUUCGCGUCUCAGCGUCAGUCACCGUCCAGAAGGCCGCCUUCGCCGCUGGUAUUCCUCCCGAUAUCUACGGAUUUCACCCCUACACCGGGAAUUCUGCCUUCCUCUCCGGGACUCUAGCCAGGCAGUUUCAGAUGCAGUUCCGGGGUUGGGCCCCGGGCUUUCACAACUGACUUGCCAAGCCGCCUACACGCGCUUUACGCCCAAUGAUUCCGAACAACGCUUGCACCCUCCGUAUUACCGCGGCUGCUGGCAC